Molecule: long non-coding RNA, 1689 nt
Organism: Canis lupus familiaris (dog)
Lineage: Eukaryota; Metazoa; Chordata; Mammalia; Carnivora; Canidae
Exons: 6
Source: RefSeq, a predicted model, not a curated record
UAUCCCCCGGGGAAACUCCCCUAGGCUUCUCUCUCCAGCAAGAGGGGCCGGGACUUCUCACAGCACAGUAGCCCAGCUCCAGGAGAGAAAGGCAGAGACUGCCUGGCCUCUGAAGGCUGGGCCUACAGAGCUCAGUGUCCCCCCUUUGGCAGUCCACUGGUUAUGUAAGCCACCAGACUGGCCCAGACUCCACCAGGUGAAUUCAGCAUUUGGAGUAGGGGCAUGCAGAGCAAACAGGGAGGAGAACCUGCCAGGACGUUGCUGCUGACCUCCUCUCACAACAGGACACCGGAGUCACUAUCUCCUCUGAAGCCAGAACUACUUGGUUUUGUUCUGAGAAGUGUGCACUGGAACCCAUCACGUGGAGACAGCAGUGGAGUGUGAUGGUUAAGGGCAGGCCCAGCCCAAGGGGCCAGCAAGAGCAGGUGUCAACUCCAACACCUAAGGUUUUGAAGGGGCUGUGCCAGAUGCUUGCUUGGAGCCUGCCACGUGAAAGAAGGGGACAGAAGCCAGCUUCAAACCAGGAUCUUCAUUUCCACCUUCCCUGGCAAACAUCCUGGCGUGGUCUCCGUGCGCUCCUCAGACGAGGUAAAGCGGCACCCCCACUGAUUAAGGCCCAGUGAUUUAAUAGCACACAGAUACAGCUGGGGCCUGUUUGGCUGCAAGAGCAAUGCAGCAUUUCUGGAGGAAAAAACGCUCUAGGAUGCACUGCACUUGAGGAAAAGCCAGAUUCACACCCAGAAAGGAAGGUGACUCCCCACCUUGACCAUGUCUGCCAGACCACAACUGUUACAGACCAGAGACAGUGCAUAAAGGGGCCUUCCUGAGCGUCAGGCUGGGCAAGGACUGGUUUCUAGGCUCUGUCCCCUAUUUCUCUGUGUGCGGACCUCCAGAGCCAGGACGUGCCUUCUCACAGCUCGACACUCCCUUCUUGCUUCCAAUGGAUAGUCUUUCCUCCUUUAUCGAAUAUUAGUUGCCCAUAUCGACACUCCCUUCUUGAAACAAGGUGUCUCCCUCCAAGCAAGCCCCCUCGUCUAUGGGAGAAGCCCAGAGCCGGCACCAAGGAGCAUCUGCAAGAAAGGAGGGUCUUUCUCUAGUUGGUUUGUUCAGUGAUCCUGAGCUCCAUGAAGGAAGACAGAGUAUCUUGCUCACUUCUGCAGAUCCCAGAAUUCAACAGGGUAAUUUGUAAAUAGAGAUUGCUCCAAAGUGUUUGAGUGGGUUUGUGCUCAUCACUGUUCACCUCUCAAAAAUAAAAAGUAAAAAAAUAAUAAUAAAUAAAUUUAAAAAAAGAAGUAAACUUCUGUUUAUAUGGAUCCUGAGAAUUAGGUCAUUACCAGCACAUGGUCAAACAUACAACAGACUAGCAGCAAAGUCUACAUGAUGCAUGUCAGUGGCCUGGAAGAAAAUCCCAGAAACAACAAUAAAGCUCUCACAGUCCUCAGAAACCAAAUCAAGUGGAGAAGUAGAUGGUGAAUUGGGAAAUCAGAAAAUAUUCCCAAAUGAGUAAAAAACUGGCUAACUCUACAUAACUGCCAAGCUACAUUAAAAGCCCAGAACCAAGAGCUUUUAGCGCUUUCAUUGAUUUUUUUUUAAUGCUGCAUCACCAAAGGUCUUGGUGGCACAGAUGACUUUGAGGAAAAUUGGCACAAAUAUCUUGGGGUCAAAAACUAGAUACUGGAAAAGUUUUAG